GACGAACGCUGGCGGCGUGCUUAACACAUGCAAGUCGAACGGAAAGGCCCUGCUUUUGUGGGGUGCUCGAGUGGCGAACGGGUGAGUAACACGUGAGUAACCUGCCCUUGACUUUGGGAUAACUUCAGGAAACUGGGGCUAAUACCGGAUAGGAGCUCCUGCUGCAUGGUGGGGGUUGGAAAGUUUCGGCGGUUGGGGAUGGACUCGCGGCUUAUCAGCUUGUUGGUGGGGUAGUGGCUUACCAAGGCUUUGACGGGUAGCCGGCCUGGGAGGGUGACCGGCCACAUGGGGACUGAGAUACGGACCAGACUCCUACGGGAGGCAGCAGUGGGGAAUAUUACACAAUGGGCCGAAGCCUGAUGCAGCAACGCCGCGUGCGGGAUGACGGCCUUCGGGUUGUAAACCGCUUUCGCCUGUGACGAAGCGUGAGUGACGGUAAUGGGUAAAGAAGCACCGGCUAACUACGUG
Molecule: ribosomal RNA, 468 nt
Filed under: uncultured bacterium
Lineage: Bacteria
Description: partial 16S ribosomal RNA
Rfam family: Bacterial small subunit ribosomal RNA
Source: RNAcentral